This 347-nucleotide unclassified non-coding RNA is filed under the name Amphritea atlantica. RNAcentral's name for it is "Long range pseudoknot". Lineage: Bacteria; Pseudomonadati; Pseudomonadota; Gammaproteobacteria; Oceanospirillales; Oceanospirillaceae. The record is from RNAcentral.
ACGGAAGAUGGGGAUUAUCAGGUAAAACUACGCAACCUGAUACGUUUCCUUGAAGGUGGCGAUAAGGCCAAGGUAACCCUGCGUUACCGCGGCCGUGAAAUGGCACACCAGGAGUUAGGUAUGCAGUUAUUACGUCGGGUCGAAGAAGACCUGAUUGAGCUGGGUACCGUUGAGCAGCGUCCAAAAAUGGAAGGCCGCCAACUGACUAUGGUCAUUGCUCCGAAAAAGAAAAAGUAGUCUGACAUAAGCGUAAAACCCGUGCUGACUCACUGUGAGCCAGAUACGGGUUUUGUUGUUUAUCAGGACGAAAGAUAAUUAACGAAUGCGUGGGGAUUUAGUAAUGCCUA